UAAGGUUUUGCCUUCCUUUCUCAUUACUGAU
Molecule: non-coding RNA, 31 nt
Filed under: Mus musculus (house mouse)
Lineage: Eukaryota; Metazoa; Chordata; Mammalia; Rodentia; Muridae
Source: RNAcentral